Molecule: ribosomal RNA, 253 nt
Filed under: uncultured bacterium
Lineage: Bacteria
Description: partial 16S ribosomal RNA
Rfam family: Bacterial small subunit ribosomal RNA
Source: RNAcentral
UACAGAGGGGGCAAGCGUUGUUCGGAAUUACUGGGCGUAAAGGGCGCGUAGGCGGCCUGCUAAGUCGAACGUGAAAUCCCUGGGCUCAACCCAGGAACUGCGUCCGAUACUGGUUGGCUUGAAUUCGGGAGAGGGAUGUGGAAUUCCAGGUGUAGCGGUGAAAUGCGUAGAUAUUGGGAGGAACACCAGUGGCGAAGGCGGCUACCUGGACCGGUUCUGACGCUGAUGCGCGAAAGCGUGGGUAGCAAACAGG